UCCCCUACGGGAGGCAGCAGUAAGGGAUAUUGGUCAAUGGGGGAAACCCUGAACCAGCAACGCCGCGUGAGGGAAGACGGUUUUCGGAUUGUAAACCUCUGUCCUCUGUGAAGAUGAUGACGGUAGCAGAGGAGGAAGCUCCGGCUAACUACGUGCCAGCAGCCGCGGUAAUACGUAGGGAGCGAGCGUUGUCCGGAUUUACUGGGUGUAAAGGGAGCGUAGACGGCAAUACAAGUCGGAAGUGAAAUACCCGGGCUCAACCUGGGAACUGCUUUGGAAACUGUAUGGCUAGAGUGCUGGAGAGG
RNAcentral lists this ribosomal RNA (305 nucleotides) under uncultured bacterium. RNAcentral's name for it is "bacterial SSU rRNA". It matches the Rfam family "Bacterial small subunit ribosomal RNA", at positions 335 to 657 of the family's 1533-position model. The record is from RNAcentral.